GAGACCUCAGGUCAGGCGGGACUACCCGCUGAGUUUAAGCA
RNAcentral lists this ribosomal RNA (41 nucleotides) under Oxylobium arborescens. Its description in RNAcentral is "partial 26S ribosomal RNA". The record is from RNAcentral. Lineage: Eukaryota; Viridiplantae; Streptophyta; Magnoliopsida; Fabales; Fabaceae. RNAcentral also lists the same sequence under 7 other names.